UGGGUCUGUGAGCUGACCAAUCAGCUAUCAACUAGGCUACGUUAGAUCGCUAGAUUUACGUCUCCUCACGUCCCUUUUGGCGCUACAUCGGAACGUAAGCGGCUGUUAUUCACUUGAAUGAAAGAGAGCUGUGGCUGAAUCCACUGUCGUCACGGAGUUAAAGGCAGUGAAUUCCAUUAAAAUGGUGGAGGAUGUGGAGAUUUGAGAAGCGCUACUCACGGGAGGUCCGGUCCA
Sander lucioperca (pikeperch) is the source of this 234-nucleotide long non-coding RNA. RefSeq lists it as uncharacterized. The transcript has 3 exons. The record is from RefSeq and is a predicted model, not a curated record. Lineage: Eukaryota; Metazoa; Chordata; Actinopteri; Perciformes; Percidae.